Molecule: long non-coding RNA, 1204 nt
Filed under: Citrus x clementina
Lineage: Eukaryota; Viridiplantae; Streptophyta; Magnoliopsida; Sapindales; Rutaceae
Description: Citrus clementina (C. clementina) long non-coding RNA (CCLE_LNC006229)
Source: RNAcentral
CUCUCUUUCCUGACACAGUAUCUCAACAAAACAAAAUACCAAAAUAAAACAAAGGCCAAAACCAAAAGCAGAAACAGAUCAAGCAGCUCAACCUCUCUAGCCUCUUAAUGAAUAAUGAUAGAUCGAACCAGAAGCAAAACAGUUGAGUUGAAGAUCGAAGCUCUAGGUCAAAACACACUCUCUCUUUCUCAAUUUUUGUAGUUUUUUCUUUCGACUUCAUCAAAGUCUAAACCCUAAAUGCUCGCCUUCUCAAGCACAACAACUUCAAAAGGAUUUAUCAUUUUCUUGGAGAUCUUAUAGAGUCGUAUUCUUAGCAUCAUCAAAGUCAGCCGCGUCGAGCCGUCAUGGUCUGUGUGACAAGCUAAAAGGUCACAUUGACUUGAGCAAAAGAAUAGUUAAGCUUGUAAAUAGAGGCAGAACAAUUAGCAAGCUCGUUCACUCUAUCGUGCGACCCGUGCCUGAGACUCUUGGAAUCGAAUUAGAGGUAUUGAUUUUGAUUUGAUUGUCGACAUAUUUUUGUUUUUAGAUUUUUUUUUUUUUAUAUUUUAUAGUGUUUAAUUAGCAAUAAAUUUGAAUUUCUAGAGUAAUUUAGGUGUACUGGCGAAUUAAAUGUUGAUUUUAUGUAUUUACUUUUUGAUUUGAAAUCCGCUUUCUCUUAAGUGUUAUUCGUUUGUGUUUCGAAUGCAGGUUUAGUGCUUGAUGAAUUGCCUCAUUCGGGUCUACUUUUUAUGAUGCAGAAAACUUAUUGUUUUUUUUUUCUAUCUAAAUUUGGUUGUUAUUAAUUAAUAAAAGUAGAGAGAUUCAGUUGUUAUUCUUGGUUCUUUAUGCAGAUGGUGCUUUUGCUUUUCUUCUGUGUUCUAUUCUUUUUGUUCAAGAUAUUUAUAGUUGUCGAUCCAAUAUUUAUUUAUUCAUUAGUUUUUACUGAAAGCAUAAAUACUCUUCCACUCGCCAAAAAUUAUUUUAUUCCAGUAGUUUUUCAAUUGUAAUGCCAGCUAGGUCCUACCAAUGCUAUUAUUUUAUGCCAGUAGUUUGAGUUCAGGUUCCCAGUGGUUUUCUUCAUUUUAAACGUGGUUAGGCAAUUGGAGUAUUGAUAACAUUCAAGCCGUUUUUAGUUCAACGCCGCAACUAGAGAAAGAUCCUUUUAAUUUUCAAGCCAAUUAAGUUUUCGGAAUGCUUCAACCAAGUUAUUUCUUUGGGGUUCCAC